GGCUGGGUCUCGUGCAGCGGGAGCCUGCGAACCCCGUCAGAUCCGGAAGGAAGCAGCGGUAUGCGGAUCUUCCCGGGUGCCGCGAGGGUGCCUGGCCGGC
Molecule: signal recognition particle RNA, 100 nt
Filed under: Nitrospinota bacterium
Lineage: Bacteria; Pseudomonadati; Nitrospinota
Description: signal recognition particle sRNA small type
Rfam family: Bacterial small signal recognition particle RNA
About the family: The signal recognition particle (SRP) is a universally conserved ribonucleoprotein involved in the co-translational targeting of proteins to membranes. Archaeal SRP consists of a 7S RNA and homologues of the eukaryotic SRP19 and SRP54 proteins.
Source: RNAcentral